RNAcentral lists this ribosomal RNA (207 nucleotides) under uncultured bacterium. RNAcentral describes it as "partial 16S ribosomal RNA". It matches the Rfam family "Bacterial small subunit ribosomal RNA", at positions 568 to 774 of the family's 1533-position model. The record is from RNAcentral.
CGUGUAGGCGGUUUUGUAAGUCAGAUGUGAAAUCCUAGGGCUUAACCCUGGAACGGCAUUUGAAACUGCAAGACUAGAGGGUAGAAGGGGAAAACAGAAUUCCACAAGUAGCGGUGAAAUGCGUAGAUAUGUGGAGGAAUACCGGUGGCGAAGGCGGUUUUCUAUUUUAUACCUGACGCUGAGGCGCGAAAGCAAGGGGAGCAAACA